Molecule: ribosomal RNA, 468 nt
Filed under: uncultured bacterium
Lineage: Bacteria
Description: partial 16S ribosomal RNA
Rfam family: Bacterial small subunit ribosomal RNA
Source: RNAcentral
GACGAACGCUGGCGGCGUGCUUAACACAUGCAAGUCGAACGGAAAGGCCCUGCUUUUGUGGGGUGCUCGAGUGGCGAACGGGUGAGUAACACGUGAGUAACCUGCCCUUGACUUUGGGAUAACUUCAGGAAACUGGGGCUAAUACCGGAUAGGAGCUCCUGCUGCAUGGUGGUGGUUGGAAAGUUUCGGCGGUUGGGGAUGGACUCGCGGCUUAUCAGCUUGUGGGGGGGGUAGUGGCUUACCAAGGCUUUGGCGGGUAGCCGGCCUGAGAGGGUGACCGGCCACAUUGGGACUGAGAUACGGCCCAGACUCCUACGGGAGGCAGCAGUGGGGAAUAUUGCACAAUGGGCGGAAGCCUGAUGCAGCAACGCCGCGUGCGGGAUGACGGCCUUCGGGUUGUAAACCGCUUUCGCCUGUGACGAAGCGUGAGUGACGGUAAUGGGUAAAGAAGCACCGGCUAACUACGUG